RNAcentral lists this non-coding RNA (30 nucleotides) under Mus musculus (house mouse). The record is from RNAcentral. Lineage: Eukaryota; Metazoa; Chordata; Mammalia; Rodentia; Muridae.
UCUGUUUCUACCACUGUGGCUGCCACAGUC